GUGGGGAAUUUUGGACAAUGGGGGCAACCCUGAUCCAGCAAUGCCGCGUGCAGGAAGAAGGCCUUCGGGUUGUAAACUGCUUUUGUACGGAACGAAAAGGCUCUGGUUAAUACCUGGGGCACAUGACGGUACCGUAAGAAUAAGCACCGGCUAACUACGUGCCAGCAGCCGCGGUAAUACGUAGGGUGCAAGCGUUAAUCGGAAUUACUGGGCGUAAAGCGUGCGCAGGCGGUGCUGUAAGACAGGCGUGAAAUCCCCGGGCUUAACCUGGGAAUGGCGCUUGUGACUGCAGUGCUGGAGUGUGGCAGAGGGGGAUGGAAUUCCGCGUGUAGCAGUGAAAUGCGUAGAUAUGCGGAGGAACACCGAUGGCGAAGGCAAUCCCCUGGGCCUGCACUGACGCUCAUGCACGAAAGCGUGGGGAGCAAACAGGAUUAGAUACCCGAGUAGUCC
This 450-nucleotide ribosomal RNA is filed under the name uncultured bacterium. RNAcentral's name for it is "partial 16S ribosomal RNA". It matches the Rfam family "Bacterial small subunit ribosomal RNA", at positions 354 to 796 of the family's 1533-position model. The record is from RNAcentral.